AUAUCCAUCAAUCCCGGUCUCCCCCUGCCCACAUCCUCCCCAUGUCCGCUAAUGACGCACAGGCGGGGUGCACCGCUGCAUCCGUUCUUUCCAGGCUCUCGCCUCUAGCAGAUGGGGCGUACUGGCAUGGUCUUGCUCCAUCGCCGCCCCGACGCACAACGGCCACGCCACGACCAGUGAGAUCCGCGCGAGGUGGGAGAUGCAUCAGGGAGGUUUCAGGCUGCUCACCGGCGAAGCCCUCCAACUAGCGGCCAGACACAGGCGAGGUGGAUUUCGUGGUGUUAUUGCCAGGAGAGGUCUUUUUGUUUCUGCGAGAACGAUAUGUCCAAGAAUUCAGGUUAAGUUCAGCCACCAUGUACCUCUACUACGAGGGCAUGCCAGAUUCUCCACAAGCUCAGCAGCGAGUCAUACGACUUCCUCUGCAGGCACUGUAACCACUUCUAUACGUGCUCUGCCAUAAGCUUGGCAUCCCCAAUCUUCCAAGAAACAAUUUGAAUUAUGGCAAGGAUUGGAAUUAUGUCUUUCAUGAGGCUAUUACCUCAAAUGCUGCGCCAGUUUUUUAGGUACUUGCACAUCACAUCUUCGAUCUGAAUUUGGGUAAACCUGUGCUAUAUGGUAAAUAUCCCAUCAUUAUAAUGGAAUGAGUAUUUAUUUUGAUUUGCCUUCUGAACCAUAAAAAAUGGAUAUCUCAUUGUUCUAGAUAGUCACAGAGUGGGCUUUCAUUGUUUUAUAUGAUCUAUGUAAUCUUUAAAAUUACAAUUUAAGGUCUUGAUAAUUGAAGUGAACAUGGUCAAGUGCUGAGCAGUUUGGGGUCAAAGAUUGAGAACUGAGAUUUUUUUCACCAAAAAGAAAGCUUCAUACUAAUUACUCUUUUCUGUUUUCCACUCUGAUGCUUUUGAUGUUUAAUGAUUUAAUAGUUUUUUGUCUAUAUUGUCAGUGUAUUUGCUAAUUGUCAAGUUUGUACAGGUUUUGAAAAAAAAAACGUUUAAUCCCUUGCUGCGCAUAAUUUGUAUAGGCAAAAGUAGCAAUCUCAUUUUGUUUCAUUCUAUUCAGGUAGGUAGUGCGUGUCUUGCACAAGAUAAUUACGGUGUUGAUGGAUCAUAUAGCAGGUUCAGUGUGCAGUUUUAAAUUUCUUUAGCACAAGUGUGCAUGCACCCACACACACGUACAGAGUUAUAGAUCUUUUUGAUAGUGUAGUUGUUGUCCUUUAUUUGCCAGCCUAAUAUGAUUGCUGCCUUGGUCUACUUUACAAUUGAUAAACGAUUUUCUGAUUCAAGAACGGUUUGCUUUCCAAAAUUGUAUAGAAGAGCAGCAUGCACAUUUUUCAGAGAGUAUCAACAUCUGAGAGGGAGUUUUUCAGCAAAAAAGAGAAGGGCUGCUUCUUAUGCUUCCAUGUCAUUCUACCAUCAGUUUUGGUGAACAAUGUGUGAGCCAAAAUAUUCAGAUCCCAGUGAGCUUUCACAUAUAGUUUGAGGGAAGCAUGAAAAAGUGCACCAAGCCGUAAUAAAUUUUGAUCGCACUUUGAUUUAAAAUUAUUAAGUGCAGCCGAUUGCAUAAUUAAGAUGGUAUCUUAUGGAAGAACCAAGCACUUAAAGUAUAUUAGUGUUAGCACUCAGAGUGAGGCAACUAUAAGAAUUUGCUGGGUUUAGUUGGUGUUACCUUGUUGAAUAAGAUCGAUAAAGGUCGGAGUACUCCCCCAAGUAUUUAUUUUGAUAUUAUCAUUUAUAUAUACAACUCCGAUAUGCGAUAGUGGUUUUCAUUUUUUAAUACAAUAGCUGAUGUCACUUUUCUGGAAUUAGAUGGAAGAGGUGAAUAUUCACUUUAUAUUAAUAUUCCCGUUCAAGUCCAUAACUGAUGGAAGAAGUCAGGGUUAACUCUUAUGUUAUAUUAGCAUUCAUGUCCCAAGCUUCAACAAUUUAGUUGUUAUGACACAGUUGAUCUUGGCUUCCUACUCUUAAGAGUUUAUUUGUUUUAACAAGGUUGAAAGGAGACACGGACAAUCUGCACAUAGCCUAGCCUACCAGGGAUGGAUUAAUGACUAACUAAGCUUUUCCUGGCUUUGACUUCAGAGGUUGUAGUUAACUCUAUGUGCCAGGAACAUGUAGUUUGGCAUUGGUUUUAGUACUGAAUAUAUAACUUUUAAGGAAACUCUUAUAUUCACUUAGAUAUGCUAGUUGAAGAAAAUAAUACUUUUUGAAUGUGCUAUGGUUAUGGCUGCCCAAUAUAGGAAGGGUGAUACUUUAUUUCCUUUUUGUUUUGUUGAAAUCUAAUCUGUCUUGGAAAAUAUUUUUUGAUAUAUAUUUGUUUUACUAUCUUUGUUUUUGUCUGAAUAUUGUGAAUGAGCAGCAUGAACAUGGCGUCUAUAGGAGCACACACGGCAAUGGAGUGAUGAAUGAUGCUUUCGUUUUCUACUCCCCCGUCUCAUAAUAUAAGAGCGUUUUUUAUACUAGUGUAGUGUCAAAAACGUUCUUAUAUUAUGGGACGGGGGAGUAGAUGGCAAAACUAUAUAUAGAACACACUCAAAUGUAUGUACCCCAAAAGAAUCUGACAAGGCAAAAGUAAAUGAGUAUGUUGAUUGGUGCCGAACAUACAAAAUUGUAGAUAUACCAAUGGAGCUCCCUGGAGCAACUAGCACUUGUUAUUUACCAGUUUAUAUCAGAUGCCACCUUUGGAGGACCAUUAAAUAUACUACUCUCUCAGUCCCAAAAUAAGUUUCUCAAUUUUAGUACAUAUUUAUACUAAAUUUAGUAUAAAGUUGAGACACUUACUUUGAGACGGAGGAAGUACUUUCAGGUUUCAGCCCAUCAAAGCAAUGACACCUCUUCUCUUAUACAUUCUUCUUUCUAUUUACAUUACCUAUUCUCAAAAUAGUGCAACGUCAGGCGAGGGUAACAAGAUGAUGCAUGUACCCAUAACUGGGAGUACGGUUACAUCUACUGACCAAGUCGGCUUAUUCAUAUUCUCUUCACACUGCUGUAUUCGUCUUAAUUUUUAUUUUAUAAUUAUAAAUAGGCUUCACCCCAGUAUUCUGGUAUCACUUUGUUGUUGGUACCAGGUACAUGUGUCUAUAUCCCUGCUUGCAUCAUGUAUAAACUUUAUGAAUAAUUAACCAUACACGAUUGUCUUCAACAUUGUUAGAAAGACAAAGACAUACCCACAUAAAACAUACAACAAUUUUGUUACUGCAUCAAGAAAAA
Molecule: long non-coding RNA, 3197 nt
Organism: Triticum aestivum (bread wheat)
Lineage: Eukaryota; Viridiplantae; Streptophyta; Magnoliopsida; Poales; Poaceae
Exons: 3
Source: RefSeq, a predicted model, not a curated record